Non-coding RNA from Rattus norvegicus (Norway rat), 2736 nucleotides. NCBI's taxonomy places the organism in Eukaryota, Metazoa, Chordata, Mammalia, Rodentia, Muridae. The record is from RefSeq and is a predicted model, not a curated record.
CGGGUGGAGCUGGGAGCAGGGCUGAAGAGCUUCCGCAGGAGAGUCUCUACAGGUCUCCAGCCUGUCACUCCCACCCUCUCCCUGCAAAUGAGGCUCAUUUCCCCGGAGUGUUCCCAUGAGUUCAUUUCCAAGGCCAGACGUCCUUUCUGCACAGAUCCUUUUUAUUGCCAUGGAGACAAUCUGCAGCUCCGACCAAUCACAAGUUUGAGCAGCAGGCACCAUGACAACCUGUGGGGGCUGGAAAGAGCUCCAGAACACCUCAAAGACCAAAGCCAAGACAGCAACCCAAUCUGGAGAUGCAGUGAUUCUCACGAGUGUGGUCGGGGAAGGGCAUCUGCCUUCCUCUGAGAGUGAGCUGGUGCCCUGCGGGGGCACAGCCGCCCGGCAUGGGACCCUGGACACUCUGAUUAUACAGAAGCAUGGCUGAGUCAGGCAGUGGAUGUCAACUGCGGCAGUCUCAAGAAUGAGUUGACACAGGACAGCAGAUGAAAGUGAAUACCUCUUUGCCAGAGAUGGCAGGGGUUGGGUGGGUCAGGAAGCAGUCACUGAUGUGCUAACACUGGAGGAGUUGGGUUUUACAGGGUGGGACGGGGCAUUUCCAGCAGAGGUGCUUCAUGAGGAGGAGCGCAGGGCAGGAGGGCUUGGGUCUCCUGCCCACCAUGGAGCUGCAGGGUAGAAUUGGGAGGAAGGCCCCAACCUAAAAUGGAGCUGGUGGCAGGGGUCAGUCUCAGCAGUGGCACCUUGCCAUACCUUUCCCAGUGGCUGUCUCCUUGGGACCAAAGGCAGUUUCAAGUUGCUGCUGUGGGGAUAUGGGACUUAGAAUGUGUCCCUGGGUCUCUUCUCUUUGAGCCAGGGUACAAACAGCAACCUGUGUUUCCAAGGCAGGAAUUCUAUUAUUUUUGAUUUCAAACAGUUCUCAACCUGUGGGUUGCGACGGCCCUGGCUGUCUAAUGACGCUUUCACAGGGGUGGCGUAUCAGAUAUUUACAUUACGAUUCGAACAGUGGCAAAACUACAGUUAUGAAGCAGCCAUGAGAUAAUUUUAUGGUUGGGGAGUCACUGCAAGAGGAGGAACUGUAUUAAAGGGUCGCAGCAUUAGGAAGGUUGAGAACCACUGUAUUAUGCUUCCUGUGUUUUCACUGCCACCUUUUUCUCCUGGAAGAUAUGCACAGAGGAUGAUCUCUCUCCUUUACCAAUUACAUUAUUAAUAUCAUAUGUCGACUACAUGUAGGUAUGUUUCUUCUGUUUAAGCAGGGAAAGGUUGAUGUUGGAGACUGAUUGAGCCAUUCACUUGCACACUCCCCUGGAAGGAGGAACACUGAGGGGGCCGUAGAGGCCCCUUAUCACCAGAAAGCAGAGGCCUGACGCUGUCCUGGCAGAUGAAUUAGUUGGUACAGCGAAAAGAACUGACUGUGCUGCCCCCCUCUCUCUGUUUCCUGGGUGACCGAGUGUCUAGAAGAACCAGCAACAAUGAGACGGAAGUGAAGUGCCCCGCAGUAUAAUAAACAUGACGGAAAUAGAGAUGGGGUCAAAUGACGGGUCGGUUGUGACUGAAGAGCAGGAAAAGGAGUCACACCCAGAAGAGCGAGACCCCUGUUGUGUCACUGUGACUCAGCCAGCUAGAGCUAGUUUUGAGUCUUGGUAUGGUAAGACUGUCAGAGAGGGAUUACACUGCAGGCCUAACUAAAAGCUUUGAGGAAGUGCUGUGCUCUUCUCUGUGAACAUUGUCCACCAGAGGAGGGCCAAAGAUCUGCGGUAAGCACGGAUUGCUAACAGUGGUUGUGAAGUCACUGCCUUACAGAAAAUUUCUUGAUUGCCAGUUAAGUAUCAGAAAGUAUGUGUAAGCAUGAUGGCUCGUGGCUGCAAGGCCAGCACUUAGGGGGCCAGAGAGGAGGAUCUCAAUGGACUAGGUGAAACAAAACAAAAUGAAACCAAACCAGCCAGAAACAGUAGAAGGAAAAUGAUCUGCUACAGUUUGGAUCUGAGAGGUCCCGCAAAGGCUCCCGUGUGGUUUGUAGCUUGACUGCCAGCUAAUGGGCUUUGGAGAAGGGAUUUGAUUCCAAGGGCUCUGACCUUAAGGAUUACGGGAAGAAUGGGUCAACAUACCCUGACUGGCGGCCCAUAAUGGCCCACGCAUGUGCAACAUCUGCCUGACCCCCUACCCCCAAGGACCAUCCGAGGGGGCCGAGGGCUAGAGCUACAACGGAUGAAUUAAUCCCUUGAUGAAUUUAUGACAUUGCUAGGAAGUGAUGGAAACUGGGAGGUUGGAUCUAGUUGGCAGAAGUGGGUCACUAAGGGUCUUUCUUCUCUGGCAAAACAUAUUGGUUCCCUGCCUCUUCCCUCUCUGCAGACUGGCAGCCAUGGAGCAAGCAGCAAUUCCUUCUGCCACAUCCCUGAGUAAAAGCAAUGGAGUCAGUUGGUUGUAGCUUGGAACCUCUCAAAGUGCGAAGCCUUUGGCGACAUGGGAGCAACUGACAUGUGGUCUAAGAGUUAACAUCUCAAAUGGGAUCUCCUCCUGUCCACUAAGCAGAGUGGAAGACACCUGUGGACUUUCUUUUUCCUUCGUUCAGUCGGUAGCUUGAUACAUCUGCCAGGGAAAGCGGAUGUUCCCAGGGAAGGAAGGACCGAGAUGCUACAGGGACAGCGGCCUGGGGAGCCUUCCGGUGCCAAGCCCCCUACAGUCUUUCUUUCAAAUUAUUUUCUAAAAUUUAAAUUAAAUGUAUUUUUGAAUAAUGAA